RNAcentral lists this long non-coding RNA (726 nucleotides) under Crocodylus porosus (Australian saltwater crocodile). RNAcentral describes it as "lncRNA (ENSCPRG00005007892.1)". The record is from RNAcentral. Lineage: Eukaryota; Metazoa; Chordata; Crocodylia; Crocodylidae.
CAGCAUACAAGGUGUGCCACUGCUACUUGUCGCUGGGGAAGCACAUGUUCCUGCUUGUGGGGAUGCGCCCACUGUUUCCAACACAAAUGUGGGUCAGGCCACUUUUGUAUGGCCCUGGUUGUCAAUGUCCAUCACUCGCCUAGCCCCAUGCCAGAGGUGUUUGCUUAUUUAUCAAGCCAGUUGUUCUUACUGAUGUAUCUGAGAACUGCUAUGUUGACCUUUCAGGGAGAGUUAAACAGACAGAGAGGCCUUGUCCCUUCUAAUUUCCUGGAAGCUGUGUCUCUGGAUGGAGGAGUUUCUGAGGGACUUCAUUCAAAGGAUAAAGAUGGCUGUGCAGUGAGUGUCGAGAGUCAGAGAAUGAGGAAGAGAAGAGUCCAGUGAUAGAUAUGAAUGAUACAUAGAGAGAACAACCAUCUCAAUUUAGAUGGGCCUGGUGACCUGUCAGCAAACACCUUUGAAGUGCCGCCAUCCUGCCGUGUCACUGGUGUCCCAAGUCCAGAGCAAGUAGUGUUUGAGACUCCUGAAUCCAGUGUUUUGCCUGUUCAAACUAAAAAAAAGAGAGGCUUCUUCUUCAAGGGAAAACAGCUCUUCAGAAAACUAGGGUCCAGCAAGAAGAACUGAAAAUGGAUGUUACCGAACUAUUUAGACUUGUCCAUAAGCCAGGCAUGGACUGUAAAUUCAGGACAUGCCCUCUGCAAUAAACUGACCUGCCACAGAGUAUUUUCA